UAUCACAGCACUUCUACUAUUCAGG
RNAcentral lists this non-coding RNA (25 nucleotides) under Rattus norvegicus (Norway rat). The record is from RNAcentral. Lineage: Eukaryota; Metazoa; Chordata; Mammalia; Rodentia; Muridae.